This 107-nucleotide small nucleolar RNA is filed under the name Gossypium arboreum. Its description in RNAcentral is "Plant small nucleolar RNA R71". It matches the Rfam family "Plant small nucleolar RNA R71". Rfam says of the family: R71 is a member of the C/D box family of snoRNAs containing the C (UGAUGA) and D (CUGA) box motifs. Multiple nearly identical copies of this snoRNA have been identified in Arabidopsis, and it is thought to function as a 2'-O-ribose methylation guide for 18S ribosomal RNA. Lineage: Eukaryota; Viridiplantae; Streptophyta; Magnoliopsida; Malvales; Malvaceae. The record is from Rfam by way of RNAcentral.
AACCCAUGGUUAGGGCACUUUCUCAAUAGAUCAUUGUAUCUCUCCCAUGCAUUAUAGAGUGUUUCUAGAUCCAUUUGCACAAAAGAAGAGAUAUCAUUCCUCAACUU